This is a long non-coding RNA of Oncorhynchus tshawytscha (Chinook salmon), 2293 nucleotides long. Lineage: Eukaryota; Metazoa; Chordata; Actinopteri; Salmoniformes; Salmonidae. The record is from Ensembl.
AGAGAGAGAGAGAGAGAGAGAGAGAGAGAGAGAGAGAGAGAGAGAGAGAGAGAGAGAGAGAGAGAGAGAGAGAGAGAGAGAGACAGAGAGAGAGAGAGAGAGAGAGAGAGAGAGAGAGAGAGAGAGAGAGAGAGAGAUGGGAUAGAAUAAAGAGAGAGAGAGACAGAACUUUUAGAAGUUGAGCUUUAUAAAGAUAUAGAUGUGGCUAAAUUAAGAACAGAGAGACACACAGAGACCUUUCUCAGCUGGUCCUACAAAGCUAUUCCCAGGCCUUGGCCCGCACCCUGGGGGAUGUUGGUUGGCAAAGACACACACACACACGGUUCUGGUGUCCUGGGCACUCACCCAAACCCUGGGCAGUUUAGCAAGUGUUUCAAGCUGUGUGUGUGCAGGCCAGCGUAUGUGUGUGUGUGUGUGUGUGUGUGUGUGUGCAGGCCAGCGUGUGUGUGUGUGUGUGUGUGUGUGUGUGUGUGUGUGUGUGUCUAAGUGCUGUUCACCGUGUAUCGUGUUGUCUUCAUGUCGCCGCUUGUGUCCUAUUAUCACCCUCCCCCCGCUACAACCCCUUCUUGGACUGGGCCACCAGCCAACUGAGCUGUGCCGGGAGGCGCCAUUGUCCCUGGCGGGGGCGUGUGGGGAUGUGUGGGUCCCAGCAGUGCUCUAGCCUCCCUGGUAGUUAAUUGAUUAAUGUCACUGAUUGACUGGACAUGUUACGCACCUGCUGUCCCAGGUGGGGGUUCUCUGUCUCUCUUUCUGUCUCUCUCUCUGUCUCUCUCUCUCUGUCUCUCUCUCUCUGUCUCUCUCUCUCUCUGUCUCUCACGCUCUCUCUCUCUCUGUCUCUGUCUCUCUCUCUCUCUCUCUCUCUCUCUCUCUCUCUCUCUCUCUCUCUCUCUCUCUCUCUCUCUCUCUCUCUCUCUGUGUGUGUGUGUGUGCGUGCGCGCGUGUGCGUGUGUGUGUGUGUGCGUGUGUGUGUGUGUUGGUAGAUGAAAGGACAACAUGGACCCAGAACAUUUGAAUUGUUUAAAAAACAAACUUUUAUUCUGAAGAACCCAAUAAAAUUAUGGCAAAUAUUUACAAAUAAUGACUUUGUUUCUUCACGGUACAUAAAUCCACGACACACACACACACACUCUGUUGAACAGGAGGACAGAUGCACAUAUUAGAAUCUGACAUAAAUCACACCUUAUUCCUUUCUGUAGUGCACUACUUUUCAAUAGAAGUACACUAUUAUAUAAAAGAGAAUUUUAAAGGUGUUAUUUAGGACCAUAGACUGAUUGUGACAAUAGAUGCACCCAGCGAACUGCAAGUCAACAUUUUCACAGAACAAAUCAACCCCAUAAAACUAAAAAAUAAUAUUAUAAUCAUUAUUAUUAACAAUAACAACAGUUAUAUAAAAAAAAUAAGCAUAAUAUCAAAGUCACUUUAUUUAAUUCUGGUUUUACAGAACAAAAUUUAAAUUUAAAAAAAUUUAAAAAAAAUAUUCUAAAAAAAAAGAAAAAAGAGCAAUUCAGUGACGUGAUAUCUUUGGCAAAUUGGCAGAAAAAAUACAUUAAAAUAUUAAGAAGAAGAAGACGUCACAAAACAGAGAGAGAAGAAGAAGAAGAAGAAGACGCCACAAAACAGAGACAGAGAGAAGAAGAAGCAAGGUUUUGUUUUUUGACACAACUAGAAAAUUUGAAUUAAAAAAAAAAAAAAAUACACAUUUUUCUUUAAAAAAGUAAUUUUUUUCUCUCCAUUUUGACAUUGUUUUUAAAUCGUCCCCCUUUCCACAAUAUUGAAGUUUUUAAAAAAUAUUUUCUGUUAUUUUGUAUUUUAAUUAUUCGUUUUUGUUACACUGAUAUAAGUGUGAGGAAAAUGUAUCUUUAGUUUAAAACAGGCUUUAGACUCAGGCUUUGGUGAAGGCUACAGAUAUGUUUUCAUUCUCAGCUCUGGAGGGAAUUCUCUCCUUUCAUUUUGAUACAAAAAAAAAAAAUUCAACCAAAUUUAGCAUUUAAAUUAUUAUUAUUUUUUUUUACAUUUAAUCAUCUUAACAUUUUUCUGUUGUCUUUUAAAUGUGAAAAAGUUUUUUUUUUUUUUUUAAACGUGUUGACAGGAAGUUAUGGAGCCGAGGACGCUCUAUGUGGUCAGAUUGUUUUGAAAAGUGCGGAAGCUUUUCCAUUAGGCCCUGGUUAAAUGUAGGGUAUUACUGUACGUAAAGACUACGGUGACAUUUAGUUGAGUACAUUUAUUUAGUUUUAUUUAUUUUAUUUAUGUUUUCUGAAAGCUGAACCUUGAAUAGAUUCUAGAUUAAUAUUAU